This is a long non-coding RNA of Pezoporus flaviventris, 3035 nucleotides long. RefSeq lists it as uncharacterized. The transcript is spliced from 3 exons. The record is from RefSeq and is a predicted model, not a curated record. Lineage: Eukaryota; Metazoa; Chordata; Aves; Psittaciformes; Psittacidae.
UCAAGAGUAUUUCUUCUCUGGUGAAGUUUCUGGAUACUGGAUGGUGGUAGUGGGGACUUUAUUGUGGCUUGCCUGUACGUAGGACUGACUACACCCUCCCGCGGGAUACACACUGCAGUGUGUUCUCACAGGGAUGUACCCAUCUGCUUCCCAGCGUUGGGAGUUACUAAACCUUUGCCGUACAGACACCACCAGAUACUCAACUGGUGUUUCCAUUUAGCUUUUCCAGAAUGCUGUGGGAUGACGGCUCUCAAGAUUUAUGUUCCCUGUCUGUACAGCCCAGGCAGCUGCCCUGCAGCCUUCUCCCUGCUCUCCUGCUAAUUUGCCUUAAUCCCGAGUUUAAGUGAGCUUCCCUAUGGAUAAGAGUGGAAUUCAGACCCUCUGGUCCUCCCUAGCCUUGGUUUCUCUGUUGCCCACAAGGGGUCCGUGUGGGAUGGUGGCACAAGUCAGGUAUUUACACCAGUUCCCCAGCAGCUGGAUGAAAACCCCUUCCAAGGAGAUCAGAGCAGGUUUAGCAGCAAAGCACCAGCCCAGGGCAUGUGCAGCCACAGGUUGUUUCCGUUAGAGUACAGAUGCCAUAAAAUAUGUUUUCUUUAAAAGCAGGAGCUAAUGUGAUUAUAGCAGUUGGAUUAAUCUAAUAUUCUCCUUCAUCUUCAAAAGAGAAUUGCCUAAAUAGCCAGAGACACAUUUUAUGAGCCCUUCUUAAGGGCUAUCAAUCAAACUUCCCAAGAAAGGCACUGAUGCCCCUUUUUGCUCACAAGAGGGAAAUCAGAUUCCCCACGGCUUCGCUCUCAGCCUGCUGCAGCCUUGCAGUGUAAUAGCUGCAUUGUGAAUGGUCUGGACAUCAUUUUCUUCCACUGGUCCAGAGAAAAAACCCACAUGGAGGCAACCUGUAAGAAGAAAGGGAAAGCAGCCCAAUUAGAGGCAGUGAUCGCUCUGCUCUCUGCCCUCUCUCCCCCUGGAUGAAGCAGAUGUAAAACAAUAGCUUUAUUGGUGAAAAUUUUAAUUGAGGAGUUCAAAGGAAGCGGCGGAGGCUCUUUUGAUCCCUCGCUGCGUUUGAAUGCCCCGGUGCAGCGGUGCCUGCUGACCUCCAGUGUUAAUUAGUGUUUAUCUGAAAUCGAAUUAGCUCACGACCGGCAGAAAGCAGAGUGAAAAUCGGCUGUAAUCAUAGAUCUGGGUGAUUCUCAAUGCGAGGUAAAAGCAGGGCUUUGCCUGCUGGAGCCGACGUGAAACUCACUCUGAGAACUUCACAGUUUUUGCUUUGUUUUUCUAAUACUCUUCAGUCAGAUGGUGCUAUUUCUCUUACUAAUACCCCGGGCUGCCUUCAUCUUUGCUGAGUCUGCUGGUCCACGUUGCUCACUGGAACUUAAACCAUAAACCAACACUGAACAAUGAUGCAUUAUUUAUAGGAGACCGAAUGCUGGGAGGUUGACAAUAGUGCAAAGCUGCUCUUUCUUGUGCUCUGUAAUCCGUAAAUAAAUACAUCAUCUAUUUCAGUUUGCAGAACUCUCUGAUGGAUGGGAAUAGCCUGUGUUAUCCGAAGGCGCCGAGGUUGCUGUGAAAGCCAGCACCUGCUUUUGGGGUCUUGAUUUGAUUAUAGCUGAUGGUGAACAAGCUGGUUAACAAAUAGACACACACAAGACUCACAUGAUGGCGAGGGAGACUAACUGAAAUGAAACAGAUCCAUUUCACCUAAAAUCUACCCAGCAUGUGUUUGUAAGCACAUGAUGCUGAUAUUCAGAACACACCUGAGCCUCACUGCUGUUUCCCAGCCUGGCACUCAUCUCAAUCAAAACUCCCAUCCUGAAUCCAAGCAGGGUGCAACCUCAGGGUGAGUCUCUGCUCAUUGCUGGCUCUAGGGCCCUUCUAUGCAGAAAUCCCUUUUGCCAUGAACACAUUUCAAACACAAGCUUCUGAAUCUCAUUACUUGCUGUCUUUUCCUCUUCCAUUUGUUUUUCUUCUAACAAUGCACCUGCCAAUAUCUGCCCCUGAGCUCCGUUUUAAGUGGUGUUUUCCAUAGUUAAUGUCCCACUCUUGCUCCCUAUCCAUCUUUGGCAACUGCUGACUGCCUGCAGCAGGACCAGAGGAAGAGGGAAAGACCUCCCUGGGUAUAACAAUAACACAACACCCAUUCCUGGAAGAAUGAUGAGAUGGGCUGUGUCAUAAAUAUUUAUAAGAGCAAGCGUAAUGAAAUGAAUGGCUAGUAUACUGAGGCUCCCUUAGGCUUUGGUCAUCACAUGUUUUUUAGCUCUUUUCUUUCUUCUCUGUGAUACAGAAUUGUCCUGGUGUCCCUGGGUUGUCGAGCAAAUUGCUUAUUGUGUUGCUCACUUACACAAUGCAUGUUAUUAUGUGCAACCAGCUGCUCCUGUUUGGCAUUGCUCACACAUACAGAACAGGAGGCCACAGGCACUCUUCUCGCCUGGAAGUCAACGUUCCUUCUAGUGCCGAAGUUGCUGCCAGACCAGAAGAAGCCUGGCAGCAAAGCGAGUCCUGGUGGAAAAGGUCCCUCAGAGACUUCUUUCCUGGGAAGACCAAGGCUGCAGUUCUGCAGGGUUUGAGCCCACGCAGGUUUGUGCUGCCGUUGAAAGCUUCCUCGUGCCUCUGUCUGCAUGUUCCCAUUGCUCUCCUUGUGCUGGCACUAACUCUAGGGUGAGUGCACGGAGUGCUGGAGCUGAUUUUCUUAUUGUUGUUGCCUGUUAAGUUUUCAGCACCAUCCUUCCCUCUGUCCAGCUCCAGGCUCAUUCAAGCAGUAAUGCCAACACAAAGGAAAGAGCAGCCAACUCUUCUGGUUAUUAGAGCAGCUUAAAUGCAUUCUAAAAUGUCAAACUCAGUGUAGCAGACCUGUCUGGAGUCAGAGAUGCUCAGAAACUGGAGCAAGGCUGUAUUUGAGACUGGGAAGUUUAAUCCUGCUUGGGAGAGAAAGAACCAAAGCGUGGUCCCAAGCACGUUUCAGGCACUGACCCCCUGCGAGAUGGGGGCUGAGUAGCUGCAGGCAGCACUUCUUACCUGCUGAACUGGAGGGCAUUAACAAGUGC